This 253-nucleotide ribosomal RNA is filed under the name uncultured bacterium. RNAcentral's name for it is "partial 16S ribosomal RNA". It matches the Rfam family "Bacterial small subunit ribosomal RNA", at positions 524 to 776 of the family's 1533-position model. The record is from RNAcentral.
UACGAAGGGUGCAAGCGUUACUCGGAAUUACUGGGCGUAAAGCGUGCGUAGGUGGUUUGUUAAGUCUGAUGUGAAAGCCCUGGGCUCAACCUGGGAAUUGCAUUGGAUACUGGCAGGCUAGAGCGCGGUAGAGGAUGGCGGAAUUCCCGGUGUAGCAGUGAAAUGCGUAGAGAUCGGGAGGAACAUCUGUGGCGAAGGCGGGUCUCUGGACAGUUCCUGACACUGAGGCACGAAGGCCAGGGGAGCAAACGGG